Molecule: ribosomal RNA, 446 nt
Filed under: uncultured Anaerolineaceae bacterium
Lineage: Bacteria; Bacillati; Chloroflexota; Anaerolineae; Anaerolineales; Anaerolineaceae
Description: bacterial SSU rRNA
Rfam family: Bacterial small subunit ribosomal RNA
Source: RNAcentral
GCACAAGCAGCGGAGCGUGUGGUUUAAUUCGUUGCUACACGAAGAACCUUACCUGGGUUUGACAUAAUGGUGGUAGGGAUCUGAAAAGGGACCGACCCUUCGGGGAGCCUAUACAGGUGUUGCAUGGCUGUCGUCAGCUCGUGUCGUGAGAUGUUCGGUUAAGUCCGCUAACGAGCGCAACCCUCGUCGUAUGUUAUAUGUGUCAUACGAGACUGCCGGUAAAAAGCCGGAGGAAGGUGAGGAUGAUGUCAAGUCAGCAUGACCUUUAUAUCCAGGGCUACACACACGCUACAAUGGUCUGUACAAUGGGUAGCCAAGCCGCGAGGCGGAGCCAAUCCUGAAAGCAGGCCUCAGUUCAGAUUGCAGUCUGCAACUCGACUGCAUGAAGCCGGAGUUGCUAGUAACCGCAGGUCAGCAAUACUGCGGUGAAUACGUUCCCGGGCCUU